UUGAUUGAAAUAAAAUGCCAAAGCAACGCUUGGCGAUUUUGCUAGUGUAAAGAUGAUGGUCAAAUGUUAUAACUGUCCUAUUUUUUCUUAUUUUUAAUCUAAUAAAAUCUUUCUUAUUUUUUUGAGUGGUUACUACAAAAACUAAAAUGAUGAGAUAAAAAAUAGACACGACAUGUUUUAGAGAAUUUGUGUAGAUUCUCCUAAAAUUAAAUGCAGCUAAUAUUAUAAAUCGAAGAAAGUAAUUAUGUAUAGGUGGAUUGUGUUCGGUGCUUUUUUUUUUUUGAUUGUCCCUCUGUUUUUAGGAUUUGGCUCUGACUAAUCCGAAUCCGACCUCCGUCACACAUCUGAUAUGGUGGAUAAAUCUUUCAGCAAGAAUUUUCUGAAUUCACAAGACUCAAAAUCGAGACUUUAAUUUCUUAUAUUGUGCUCGGUCUUUUUAUGAAAGUAAAUAUGUAAAUAUCGAACUGCCUUUGAGAUCUCGAUCCUUCGACAGUAGAGAAAGGACAACUCCAACGCUGGACGCCCGACCUUUCCCAUUAUACUAGGAAAAGGACAGGUGUCAUAACACCGGCCAUACUUGUCAAGGAAUGGGUGCCUCGUGUCUCUUAUUUAUAUACUCCAAAUUAACAAGUGUAGAGAUUUUAAUCAAUUUGCAGCGUGCAUCACAUUAGAGACGUGAGAUAAUAAUAAAAGUAAGAAUUAUUAUUAUAAAUUAUAAUUCAAACUCAA
Long non-coding RNA from Mercurialis annua (annual mercury), 729 nucleotides. RefSeq lists it as uncharacterized. The transcript is spliced from 2 exons. NCBI's taxonomy places the organism in Eukaryota, Viridiplantae, Streptophyta, Magnoliopsida, Malpighiales, Euphorbiaceae. The record is from RefSeq and is a predicted model, not a curated record.